CCUACGGGAGGCAGCAGUGGGGAAUAUUGGACAAUGGACGAAAGUCUGAAGCAGCGAAGCAGCGUGAGGGAAGAAUGACCUAGGUGUGGUAAGCUUCUUUUAUAGGGGAGUAAAACGAGGCACGUGUGCCUUUUUGCAUGGACUUUAUGAUUAAGGCUCGGCUAACUCCGUGCCAGCAGCCGCGGUAAUACGGAGGAUCCGAGCGUUAUCCGGAUUUAUUGGGUGUAACGGGAGCGUAGAUGGGUCGUUAAGUCCGUUGUGAAAGUUUGCGGCUCAACCGUAGAAGUGCACUUGAUAAUGGGGGUCUUGAGUACAGGAGAGGCAGGCGGAAUGCGUGGUGUAGCGGUGAAAUGCGUAGAUAUUAGGAAGAACACCGACGGCGAAGGCAGCUUACUAGACUGUAACUGACAUUGAGGCUCGAAAGUGUGGAUAUCAAACAGGAUUAGAUACCCUAGUAGUC
Molecule: ribosomal RNA, 460 nt
Filed under: uncultured bacterium
Lineage: Bacteria
Description: partial 16S ribosomal RNA
Rfam family: Bacterial small subunit ribosomal RNA
Source: RNAcentral